This 491-nucleotide ribosomal RNA is filed under the name uncultured bacterium. RNAcentral describes it as "partial 16S ribosomal RNA". It matches the Rfam family "Bacterial small subunit ribosomal RNA", at positions 29 to 507 of the family's 1533-position model. The record is from RNAcentral.
UUGAACGCUGGCGGCAUGCUUUACACAUGCAAGUCGAACGGUAACAGGCCUUCGGGUGCUGACGAGUGGCGAACGGGUGAGUAAUGCAUCGGAACGUACCCAGAGGUGGGGGAUAACGCAGCGAAAGCUGUGCUAAUACCGCAUGUGAUCUGAGGAUGAAAGCGGGGGACCGAGCAGCAAUGUUUGGCCUCGCGCCUUUGGAGCGGCCGAUGUCGGAUUAGCUAGUUGGUGGGGUAACGGCCUACCAAGGCGACGAUCCGUAGCUGGUCUGAGAGGACGACCAGCCACACUGGGACUGAGACACGGCCCAGACUCCUACGGGAGGCAGCAGUGGGGAAUUUUGGACAAUGGGCGCAAGCCUGAUCCAGCAAUGCCGCGUGCGGGAAGAAGGCCUUCGGGUUGUAAACCGCUUUUGGCAGGAACGAAACGGUGUCCGCUAAUACCGGGCGCUAAUGACGGUACCUGCAGAAUAAGCACCGGCUAACUACGUG